GACGGAGGAUGCAAGCGUUAUCCGGAAUGAUUGGGCGUAAAGCGUCCGCAGGUGGCAGUUCAAGUCUGCUGUCAAAGGCCGGGGCUUAACUUCGGGAAGGCAGUGGAAACUGAACAGCUAGAGUAUGGUAGGGGCAGAGGGAAUUCCUGGUGUAGCGGUGAAAUGCGUAGAGAUCAGGAAGAACAUCGGUGGCGAAGGCGCUCUGCUGGACCAUAACUGACACUCAGGGACGAAAGCUAGGGGAGCGAAUGGG
This 253-nucleotide ribosomal RNA is filed under the name uncultured bacterium. Its description in RNAcentral is "partial 16S ribosomal RNA". It matches the Rfam family "Bacterial small subunit ribosomal RNA", at positions 524 to 776 of the family's 1533-position model. The record is from RNAcentral.